AUAUAUAUAUAUAUAUGUGUGUGUCUGGUUUUGCCUUCCUUUCAGAUGCUGAUAACCCGUCGUCUGUGACUCUCUGAUAGCCCUCCUGUUUCACCACUUGUUGACUGGUUUUCAUUCACUCAUCUGGACUUUUAAAUAUUUAUUUGAACUGUUCAUUUUCUUGUGUAUAUGGUUGAAUGCAGAUUUUCACUGUUUCACACAAUAACAUUAUUCACAUCUGCACUAAUAUUUGUUUUAAAUGUUCCUUUAGGAAGUUGGACCUCAACACGCUUUUCUGUAGCCAUCAACAAUUUCUAUCCCAAUACCAGCUUCAUGUUUAAUCACUAUUCUAAUCAGCAGAAUUAAAAUGAGAGUAUUUAAGGACUCAAAUUUUUGCAAAAUGUUUGGUACUUUGUAACCUAUUCUAAAACCAGUUUUGGUGUUCUUUGAGGAUGUCUGUCCUGUUUCUGCUGUUAAUCUUGAAAUCUGCAAGAAUUUUGAGAAUGUGGCUGUAAAAUAGUUCCCAGGCUUAUGUAGACAUUCUUAGAUCUUCAGUGAAUUUCUUUCACUUUUCAACUUUUCUGGCUAUUAGCCAAUCAAAUGUGUGCUCUCAAACAAGUUACUACAUCCUCAACUUGGUCAGGAUGGAAUAUAUUCUACGACCUUCAGCACCACUUAGUAAUACAUUUAUGUACAACUGUUUAAUGUACAUAAACAGUUCAGUUCUCACUUAAUGAGGAUUUUCACUGACUGAUUAAAGUCAGUUAAAAAAACUAAAAAGAGGAGGUCUUAUCAGCUGAUCCUGCACAGCUGAUUACACAGAGCAAAUUCAGGCAGGAGUUUAUUGUAAAUCACAUGCUUGACAGGAAAUGAAAGCAAAAUCAUCAGAGCCUCAGCUGUCUGAGUCUGCAGACAACAUCCAAGAUCGACAACGAUUUUAUGUUUUGUUUUCACAUCCAGCCAGGCCUUUGUGAGCCAUCAUCAGGAUCUUUGUAAAGGCUUGUGUUUGCUGAAACUUGUCACCGGUUCCCUUGUCAGACAUGGCAGCUGCUGGGCUCUCUGAGGAUCAGCCACUCUGCUGCAUCUGCCUGGAUGUGUUCUCCCAGCCGGUGGCUCUGCCGUGUCAGCACCACUUCUGCUGGACCUGCAUCACCAAACACUGGGACAACGCUGACAGAUGGCAGUGUCCCCUGUGUAACAGGGUUUUCACCAGCAGACCAGAGCUUCAGGUUAACACAGGAAUGUCUAAACUAAGUGAUCAGUUGGAGCUUCCAGCUCAGCAGGCUGCCUGCUGCAGCUUGGAACCACGACCUGAUGCAGGACAGGUUGUGUGUAGCGUCUGCUCCAAGGAGGCCCAGAUGUCCUGCCUGGUGUGUCUCAGCUCCUACUGCGAGACCCAUCAGGUUUUCCAUCAGAGGAUCCCAGGCCUGAGGAGACACACUCUGCUGGACCCUGUGGACGGACAGGAGGACAAAAUGUGCAACAAGUAUCAAAAAGCUUCAGAGAAGCUUAUGUGCCAUCGUGGCCUUUUUGUGUUGCUUGCAUGUUUUAUUUUAAUAAUUGCUGUUUGUUAUUUUGUAUUUAUUUAAUUUGGUUGUUUUUACUGAACUAUUUGGAUUCAUCUGGAUUUGUUGAUUAACUUCUUUUUUUUGCAUAUUUUUCUGUCCACCGUCCAGAAGCUCCCUGCCUCUCUGGAGACAGAAACUUGCCAUGAUGUUCGUCAUUCACUCCAAUUUUUAUCUUAUGGAAAACUGUUAGCCUCGCAAUUUUAUGGAAAGUGCUCUUUAAUUUAAUUUUUAGAAGGUUAAGUUUUGAUUCUGCUGAGCAGGUUAGACCACUAGAGGGCAGGAUGUUCUUGGGAAUUUUUUAAACUAUAAAUUAUGUAUAAUAUGAGUAGCCUUGCAAUUCUUUUACAUUUAUAAACUUAAACUAUUUUCUAGCUGGUUACUGGUAUGAUCUAGCACCUCACAGCAACAAGAGGCCAAAUCAGGAGAAGUAGUAUGUUACGUCUGCUCUGAAACCAAAUCAAAAUCUAGGAAGUGUGUGUACUUCAGGGACAAAAAAAAAAA
Molecule: long non-coding RNA, 2048 nt
Organism: Xiphophorus hellerii (green swordtail)
Lineage: Eukaryota; Metazoa; Chordata; Actinopteri; Cyprinodontiformes; Poeciliidae
Exons: 2
Source: RefSeq, a predicted model, not a curated record